CAGCAAAAUUAUCUGGGCACAUGUCACCAGUGACCUUUGGCAGACAGGGUGGAGCAGAGAGCUGUGUAUGAGCCAAGACCUGAUGUCAUUGAGGAAGGUAAAGUGAGGCUGGGGAGGCUGAUGGUAAAGACAGCAGCAUAGGCAGGUGGUUCCCCCUGUGAAAAAGGAGAAGGGUGCAGACUGUGGGUGUCUGAACAACGGUGGUUUGUGCCGUCCGCAGAGCUGCAAGUCAUCACCCGCCCCUCCUCC
RNAcentral lists this long non-coding RNA (249 nucleotides) under Homo sapiens (human). RNAcentral describes it as "non-protein coding lnc-PAFAH1B1-5:1". The record is from RNAcentral. Lineage: Eukaryota; Metazoa; Chordata; Mammalia; Primates; Hominidae.